CACGAGGGUCUCACUGUCUUAAGGAAAUUUCCAGUGAAAUUGAAUUUGUAGUGAAGAUGCUACAUCCAAAUUGUUAGACAAGAAGUCCCCAUGGAACUUUACUGGAGACUUAUGUGGCUUAAAUUAAUUUAUUUCUUUCAAAUAAAUAGUUUUAAAAUGUGGUGUUAACCCCUCGGAUUAACUAGGGUUAUUAAAGCCCACUCUUUUAUUUAAAGAAAGCUAACUCAAAAAUUUAUGUCUUUGGGAUUUGAUAAGUGAGACAGUUUGGUUGGGGCGACCGCCUUUAAAAAAGUAACGAAGGCGGGCUUAAGAUACAUAUUUAGUGAUGUCUGACUGCCAAGGGGAGAUCCUGAGCAGACACUUACUUUUUAGGUGGGUUUAAGUGACCCGUUGAUUUAGGGUGAAAUAGUUAACGAUAAACA
Molecule: ribosomal RNA, 422 nt
Filed under: Anthemiphyllia patera costata
Lineage: Eukaryota; Metazoa; Cnidaria; Anthozoa; Scleractinia; Anthemiphylliidae
Description: partial 16S ribosomal RNA
Rfam family: Bacterial large subunit ribosomal RNA
Source: RNAcentral